Molecule: ribosomal RNA, 481 nt
Filed under: uncultured bacterium
Lineage: Bacteria
Description: partial 16S ribosomal RNA
Rfam family: Bacterial small subunit ribosomal RNA
Source: RNAcentral
GAUGAACGCUGGCGGCGUGCUUAACACAUGCAAGUCGAACGAAGCACUUUAUUUGAUUUCCUUCGGGACUGAUUAUUUUGUGACUGAGUGGCGGACGGGUGAGUAACGCGUGGGUAACCUGCCUUGUACAGGGGGAUAACAGUUGGAAACGGCUGCUAAUACCGCAUAAGCGCACGGCAUCGCAUGAUGCAGUGUGAAAAACUCCGGUGGUAUAAGAUGGACCCGCGUUGGAUUAGCUAGUUGGUGAGGUAACGGCCCACCAAGGCGACGAUCCAUAGCCGAGCUGGGAGGGUGACCGGCCACAUUGGGACUGAGACACGGCCCAAACUCCUACGGGAGGCAGCAGUGGGGAAUAUUGCACAAUGGGCGAAAGCCUGAUGCAGCGACGCCGCGUGAGCGAAGAAGUAUUUCGGUAUGUAAAGCUCUAUCAGCAGGGAAGAUAAUGACGGUACCUGACUAAGAAGCACCGGCUAAAUACGUG